GGGCAAUUUGUGGGGUCGGGAUGGGCCAGGCUGGGCCCGACCAAUGUGACGAACAUGUCGGGGCACGUCCAGGCCUUUCCAUACCCACCUUAGACUUAGUCUGGAUAUUAGGAGUGCCGGUCAACUUGAACUUAUAGAAUCGAUGUGAGAAGCCCGCGGUUUAGCGAUCGGGCAUUGACCGGAUGUACGCCCGAGCAAUUUGGGCACCCGGUCGUAGAUGCCCUGAGAUCUCGGACACUUGAGAGGCCACUCCCAGCCUACUUGGCUGUAGAUGUCCUGAGCAGCCGCCGGGCUAUCAUUGCCAGUAUACAGUGCAUAGAACUCAGAUUUUUAGCAUAAAAAUCGAGAGAUAUUUGUUGCCAUGGAUUGGAAGGUGAAAGGAAUGGGUGAUGGCUACUGCCAUUACUACCACAUCCGCCACCUAUUUCUUCUUGCUUUGCUUGCACCCUGCAACACCAAUUCCUUUAGCUUCCACUUUCGUCUUUCGACCCCUAUGACGUCUGCCACUCCAAGAGGAUGGUGAAGAACUGAAGAUUCAUGCCUCUUAAGAGCAGACAGGAAGAAGGUUCUGCCUCACCAAGGUAAGCUCUCCUUCAAUUCUUCAUGUUCUUUUCCCCGUUAGGGAUGAUUUCUGGGCCCUUAUUCAGAGCGAUGCUUGCAGAAGCGAGGUUGUGGUGUUGCUGGAUGCGAUGGUGCCGUGGAGGAUGGAGGCGCGGCUGGCGGCCACGGUGCGGGCGGCGCUCCUCGGCUGGCUCUUCUUCUGCCUCACCGUCGCCAGCGACGUCGCACGCCAACUCAGGAGCAGCGAUCUCUCCGUCUAAGGCCGGCCGCGUUGACAUCGCCGGCGGCAAAGAACAGACUCUGCGUCUACGAAGUGCCACUCCAUCUGGUGCACAGGAAGAAGAUUGAUUUACAGCAGGGUAACCAGAUGCGAUUUUGCAACGAACCCGCAGUUAGGUGCAGGUGCUCGUCUUUAGAAGACGGUUGUCCUUGAGACUCAUUGAGCAGAUGAUCCCUGUAAAUUUUCAACUAAAGCGUGUUGUUCCUUGGCUCAUUUUGGGGGGUCAGCAUGGUUAAUUUCCAGCUAGCAUCACUGACUACGACCUGAAAUGCCUUUUUUGGUGAAAUUACCACCUGAAAUACUAAAUCAUUACACCUUAACGGUUUUGUCAUUAGUUAUUAACAUUAAAACCCAUUAGGGGGUCCAGCUCCACUUUUAAUCUGAAAUGUGGGUCCCAUGAUGAGAUGGCCUAGCAAAUAAUUAUUGCCGUCGGUCUCAUGUGGGGCAAAACGCCCUCUAAAUCACCUCACAUGCUCUCAGGAGUCAGGAGCCGGAUUAUUUUAAUGUUUUUUUGUAAUGUUUGAGGAUAGUAGAUUCACAAUAUCAGAUAUUUAGUUUGUAUCGUUUUGACUUCGGCAUAUCGGAUGGUAUAUCAUACGAUAUUUAGUUAUAUCGAAGAGAACAAAUUUGAA
RNAcentral lists this long non-coding RNA (1473 nucleotides) under Triticum aestivum (bread wheat). RNAcentral's name for it is "long non-coding RNA (TAES_LNC020216)". Lineage: Eukaryota; Viridiplantae; Streptophyta; Magnoliopsida; Poales; Poaceae. The record is from RNAcentral.